AUUUUACUGUCCCAUGUAGUAUGAUAUUUUAUACCUUAUAUGCAGCAAUAAUUAUAAAUGAUUGCAUUAAUUCUUUUAACUAAGCAAAGCCUUCUCUGUAGGUUAUAAUUCCAUAAGCAAUAUCAUUACCAGUAAUAAGAGUGUAAUAAAUGUAUAUUCAAAGUUUAAAUCAAAUUGGGAAUGGAAAUGGGGAGUGUGUCAAAGAGACAGCAACCUGACCAAAAAGUAGAAAACAGCCCAAGGCCAUCAAUUUGUAUGCCAAAGGGCUUAGGGCAACAAUUCGAUCGUACAUAUAUAGCC
RNAcentral lists this long non-coding RNA (300 nucleotides) under Mytilus galloprovincialis (Mediterranean mussel). The record is from RNAcentral. Lineage: Eukaryota; Metazoa; Mollusca; Bivalvia; Mytilida; Mytilidae.